RNAcentral lists this ribosomal RNA (245 nucleotides) under uncultured bacterium. RNAcentral's name for it is "partial 16S ribosomal RNA". It matches the Rfam family "Bacterial small subunit ribosomal RNA", at positions 527 to 779 of the family's 1533-position model. The record is from RNAcentral.
CAGAGGUGCAAGCGUUAAUCGGAAUUACUGGCGUAAGCGAGCGUAGGUGGCUUGAUAAGUCAGAUGUGAAUCCCGGGCUUAACCUGGGAACUGCAUCUGAACUGUUAGGCUAGAGUAGGUGAGAGGAAGUAGAAUUUCAGGUGUAGCGGUGAAAUGCGUAGAGAUCUGAAGGAUACCGAUGGCGAAGGCAGCUUCCUGGCAUCAUACUGACACUGAGGCUCGAAAGCGUGGUAGCAAACAGGAUU